This 5337-nucleotide long non-coding RNA is filed under the name Homo sapiens (human). RNAcentral's name for it is "HSALNT0385378". Lineage: Eukaryota; Metazoa; Chordata; Mammalia; Primates; Hominidae. The record is from RNAcentral.
GCACGGGAGUUCUUGUCUGUGUGCAAUCCACUUUGUGGGCGUGUGGGUUUAGGUCUGGCUGGGCCGUUUCUGAACUUGACCCCUGAGGACUCAUAGUACCUUAGGGGCGGGGCUCUCCAGUGGGUGGGGCCUCCCGCUCUGAGAGCAAGGCCUCGGGGUCUGGAGGACCCGGCUUUUCCGGGAGGGCGCGGCCUCCGGGGGAGAGGGCGAGCCGAGCGGGCUGUCAGCCGAAGAGCUUCAGGAAGCAGGGCUGGCAGUAGGGCUUGCCGGCGCGCUCCUGGAAGGACCCCUUGGUGAGCGGGCGCAGGCAGAAGGUGCAUGUGAAGUGGUCCGGGUGGAAGCGGCGACCCAGGGCCGACACGCAGCGGCCGGUCACAGGGAGGCCACACGUGGCGCACAGCGAGCCGCGUCGUGCGUGGAAGUGGUUCUCGCACAACGGGCGGCCCUCGUGCUCGAAAAAGCUGCCUCCCGAGAAGGGCGCGAAGCAUUCCUGGGGAAGGGAAGCCGCGAAAGAGGACAGACAGGUCAGCGGCCACUGCCAGACAACGCGCGUUACUAGCGGAUAACGCCCUGGGACCCCGCAGCCCGCCCUAGACGCGAAGAAUCCCGUCCGGUGGGACCCUGCCCGGAAAACUCGCCCCACCCGAGGUUCCUAGCAGCACCUCCCGUGACCCGCCCCCCCGAGGGCCCGCCCCCUGCCCUGCACCCUUGACCCGCCCCUCCAAGGCCCCGCCCCACAGCCCUGUACCCUUGACCCGCCCCUCCAACGCCCCGCCCCGCAGCUCGCACCCUGCAGACGAAACAGUCCGGGUGCCAGAGCGCGCUGAGCGCCGAGAUGUAGUUAUCCAGGAUGGGGCCCUGGCAGCCCUGGCAGCGCGGGGCGAACAGCUGCAGGAAGUCCCGGCGGCAGUAGGGGCGGCCCUCGCGCUCGUGGAAACCUAGGAGAGGGAACCGAGUGGGCUGAAAGCAAAGGGUGCGGGCGGGACGGGGGACCCACAAGACCUGAGAUCUGGGGCCGAAGGAGGGGCAGUCCGAGGGAGCCUUGGGGAAGGAGGAGCCGGGUCUAUGGCGGGACAGAGCGGGGAGGGCUCGGGUCCGGAGUCUGUGUAGGAGAGGGCAGGGCCAGAAGAGAGCAGAAGGAAAACCAUGGCCCUGAGGACUCCGGAGGUCGGAGGGGCUGGGGCGAGACGUCGAGGGGACCCGCAGCUUUUAAGAUGGGAGUCGAGUUCACUCUCACCCUCAUCUCCGAAGGGCUCCCCGCAACUGACGCAGCAGAAAUGCUCUGGGUGCCAGUGAGUGCCCAAGGCGGUCACCAUCUUCUGCAGGGAGGGAGAGGGCACUCAGCGCGGCCUCCGUGCCUUCGCGCCUUCCUCUCCCGCGCGGAACCCGGGUGACUGGACUAAGGCAUGCGUGGGGGGAGGGGGAGAAGAUCUAACUAGGAACGUGGGGGUCAGAAAGGAAGAGUGGAGUCCAAGGGGCCGUGGACAUUGCCAAGGGGAAGGGGUAGGGGUGGAGUGGGGUAUCGCGGGUGGGGCGGGACCCAUGCGGUGGAGGCCCGUCCCACAGCUCUCCUGGUGAGAUAGGGCGGGCUCGGUGCGGCCGGGCGGGGCUCACGUGUCGGAUGGGCUGGUUGCAGAAGCCACAUCUUGGCGAGAAGCGCUCAAAGUAGCACUCGGGGCAGAAGGGGGCUCCAUCCUUCUCGAAGAAGCUGCUGCCUCCCAGGGCGGUGGAACAGCCUCCGCAAACGAAGUGCUCGGGGUGCCAGGCGCGGCCCAGAGCCGUCACCACCUGCGAGUGGGAGGUGAGGCGGGUCAGAGCGGCUCUGACAACCACAUGCCCAGUGAGGCAAGAUUUACGCGGCGUUUUUCGAGUCCUCUCUGAGCGAUCAGAAUAAAGAAUCCAGUGUUCGAGAUCACGCAGCCUGUAAGCGAUGGAGAUCUAGCUCCCGUGUUCCGUCUUCCAGCUGCGCUCCAGGAUUGACCUAUACAUGAGGCACAGCAGGCACAGCGCCUGGAGCCCACAAUACAUUUAGGGGCCCAUAAAAACGUUUUAAUUUUUUUAAAAUCAAAAUACGAUCAGGCUGGGUGGCUCGUGCCUCUAAUCCUAGCAUUUGGGAGGCUGAGGUGGGAGGAUUACUUGAGUCCAGGAGUUUGAGACCAGCCUGGGCAACAUGGCGAAGCCCCAUCUCUACAAUAAAUAAAUAAAAUUAGCUGGGCGAGGUGGCGGGCGCCUUUAGUCCCAGCUACUCGGGAGGCUGAGCUGGGAGGAUCACUUGAGCCCAGAAGGUCGAGGCUGCAGUGAGCCACAAUCGCACCACUGCACUCCAGCUUGGGUCACAAGAGUGAGAAUUUGCCUCAAAAUAAAUAAGAGGGAGGAAGUGAAAAAUCCGUUUUUAAAAAUUCAGAAUAAAAAAAUGAACUAGAAGAAAAUGCUGUAAUACACAAUAAUAACAUACCCAUCUUUACACCAACACAGACAUAAAAAUCUAUUUAUUUUAAUGGACGAAGGGACUCAUGAAGAUGAAAGUGCCUAUGAUCCACAAAAGUCACAAUGCCACCCUCCUUUGCUGAGAUGGGCAAUUCUGGGCUGGGAGUCAGGUACUUGAUCUAGCAGGGGGCACUAGGUUAACCCCUAGGCACAGCUGUUGUCAAUCACAUCUGCUCAGUCAAUAAAACAAGGACCAGUGAACCCAGUCCAGACUCUGACGGAGGAAGAGAGAGCCUUUGUAGAUGCCUGAGAGAUAUUGGGUGGAGCCACAGAGUGUUUUGUGAAGAUCAGAUGAGAUGAGGGUUUGUAAAGGAGCUGGCACAGUGCCUGGCACACAGUAGGACCACAAUAAAUGGUAACAUGGUUGGAAUUUUCACCCUACCACUAACCUGCUGUGUGGUUCAGAGCUUCAGUUUCCUCAUCCAUAAAACAUAAGUAAUAAUGAUACCCACUUCCCAGAUUAACUUACUAAAAGGGAACAGCAUAAAGCCCAGCUCUCACUAAAGAUGGGUCUGUGACAGGUCUCUGCCUCCCUUCUCACAAGGCUCCACUUACUUGCCCAGCAAUAGGUUUAUUGCAGGAGCCACAGAGGCCUUUGGCCUGGGUGGGAACACCCCGGCGGCUGAGGUCGGACUGCAGCAGCCCCAGCAUGGUGUCUAGGCUGCCCUUGCCAGUCGGCUCUGGUGGGGAUGGGGAGCCCUCAUUUGUGGAGCUCACCACCGGUGGCUGAGUUGGCCCAGAGGCUGGAAGCUGCAGCGGGGAGGACAUGAGAAUUGAGUCAGCAAAGCAGCAGAUGUGGAAUUGUCUAGAAGGGGUUGGGGAGCCACAAAUGGACACUGGCCCACUGCCCAACUCACAUGGUUUUGAACGCGGAAGUCAGAGAGUGAGGCCAUCAGUCUAUCCAGCUCCAGAGUGGCUGAGGUGGCAGAAGCCUUUGGGAGGCCAGGAGACGGGCUGGAAGGGCUGUGAAGAACAUGCUUGUGUCAUCUCAGAGCCUCCCAGAGCAACGCUCCCUCUAGUGACUCAGAUAUCCAGGACUCAUCUCUCAGCCCUGACAACGACGCCAAACUCACAGGCUGGGUCUUUUCUUAUCUUCAGACUGGUCCUCCUUCUGCUCUCCUGAAGCCACCUUGCUAGAUGGGAACUGAGACAUGAUUUCAUCUGGAGAGAGGAGAGGAGGACGCUACAUAUAGGGCCAUGCUCAACGCACCCUCACACUUGAGGCUUUAGGUCCCUUUAACUGCUACUCUGGGAAGUGUAUUCCUCUUAGUCUCUGCCCCACCCUUCCCUCCCCUGCCCCUAUCGCAUCAAGGCCUCUCUCAGUCACCCUGGUACCUGUGAUGUUGAACUGAGUGGCAUUAAGUUCCUGAAGCAACCGAUCUAGCUCACAGAGCCCGACUCCCCAGACCCUGUCUACAGAGCGGAGACGCACAGGUGGGAUGACAGGCCUGCACUCUGCCCCACUGAGGCUGAGAUCCCCAUAGACCAGGCCGAGCCUGGCCCUAGUGGCUGCCCCAGUCCCCAACAUCCGAUCUCACCUGUGGCUGGUGGCCAUAGGAUGGGGGAGGGGUGAGAGGCUCCGCAGGGCGCUCUUUGGGAGCCCCUGACCUUGGCAUGUGCGAGGUGGUAGUCUCCAGGUCAGAGAGCAGGGCAUCUGCAGGAAGAGGCCAUCAGGGAGAGAGACAAGGGUCACGGUUAGAUCAGAAGAUAAGGUUCCCAGUGGGCAGUACUGGAGAAGGACAGAAGCCAGUAUUAAGAGAAGAGGUCACAGGGCCAGAGCCAGGCAGAGCACUGCUCGAAGGGUAGCAAGGAAUAUUUAUGACCAGAAUAUCCCAGUUGCUCACGCUUGGAGCCAAGCACAAACCCAGCCUCCUGAUUAUUUUAUUCUCCCCAUCUUCUCUGAUGCAGUCAAAAUGGGCUCUUCACCCAAGCCAAAUUUGGCUCCCCUCCAAAUUGCUCCAUUGGCCCAGUGCCUGGCCCUCAGCUUUCUGAUUGGACGCUCUCUCUUCCAUGCUGGUUAACUCCUCCCUCUACCUACACAGGCCCCGCCCAGCCUGGCCACUCCCAGGCCCCUGAGUCCCGCCCUGGGCUCCUCACUGGCGCUUCGCUGGGACCUGCCUUCUGAUUGGCUGUUUAUCUGCGGUACAGCGUCAGUUACCCCUACCGAGCAGCGCCCUCUACCGCCAGGGGCCGGAAGCCCCUCUCUCCCGUGGAGCGCACAGCCUUCCAGCCCCAGGCUUCGCAGGGAGGACGAGAUACCUGGGUCCCCCUUCCGGACAAGACACCUCUCUCCAUCCCUGCAUCCCCAGAUCCGGGUCUUUUGAGCCCUUUCACUUCCAGAACCCAGAAGUCCUGCCCUCAGUCUUCGUCUCUGAGCACCCGCGUGAAACCCUGAAGCCUUCGCGGGCGCCUAGGCACUCCUGAGUUACUAUUCUCUUCCUUGCCUCAAGGACCUGACCCUCACUGUGCUCAGGAGCCCUUAACUCCUCCUCUCCCAAAACUCUGGUGCAGGCAGGCCCGCUUUUUUUCUCCAAAACUUGAUGCCAGACUUUCCCGUGCCCUCUACUUUCCCGGUCCCCGGGCCGAGGCCCCUUUAACCCCUCCCUCCCCAGAGCCCCGCGCCCGGGCGCCCGCGGGCGCCGCACCUCCCGUUCCAUCUGCCGCAGCCUGGGAUGGAGGAGCACAGCGAGGGAAGAAGGGAGGGAGCGGCCGGCCCAGGAAAGGCAGGAAGGGAGAGGCAGGAAGGGGGACGUGGAGUUGGAAAGGAGGCGCGGGCAGAGGCGAAAAGCAGAAGUAAGAAGACAGGGAUGGGGAGAUGCGGGAGAGCGACGGCGGGGAGGCAGCUCUGGG